GCUGGCUGCAGCAGGGAGAAUUGCUGGGGGGAAAAAAGAGACUCAUUGAUGAGGCUAAGUCAUGUGUAGGAAGAGUAGGAGCAAUUGCAAGGAAGAUACCUUGGAGUAAUGCUAAAGCAAUGGAAGAGGUCUGUUACUCACAAGGAGCGUGUCUGCUCCUGCAGAGUGCCUGGUGUCACAGAGAAGACAGCUGAUGCUUCUGGGAGAUGUGCUAAAGAGAUCAGGGCCUUUUCUUCUGGAAAGAGAAGCAGAACCAGGCUUUGCACCAACUCUAACAGAAAGGCUCCCAUCAGAGUGAGUGGGACCUUGCAGGGAGCAAGCAUAGAUAUGGGUGUGAAAGUCCUCUGUGUCAGCACCUGCAGCAACAGCCAGGCAGCACCAUAUGGAGCAGGAUGGAGGAUGCAGAGGGAAGAGGGAUGCAGAGCGGUUUUCCCUCAGGCUGCUUGCUGGAAGGCAAGGAAAGUGAAUUCUCUGCAGGUACCCUGAGCCUUGCCAGAAAAGUG
Molecule: long non-coding RNA, 503 nt
Organism: Neopsephotus bourkii (Bourke's parrot)
Lineage: Eukaryota; Metazoa; Chordata; Aves; Psittaciformes; Psittacidae
Exons: 3
Source: RefSeq, a predicted model, not a curated record